This 532-nucleotide ribosomal RNA is filed under the name uncultured bacterium. RNAcentral describes it as "bacterial SSU rRNA". It matches the Rfam family "Bacterial small subunit ribosomal RNA", at positions 356 to 896 of the family's 1533-position model. The record is from RNAcentral.
GGGGAAUAUUGCACAAUGGGCGCAAGCCUGAUGCAGCGACGCCGCGUGGGGGAUGACGGCCUUCGGGUUGUAAACUCCUUUCGCUAGGGACGAAGCUUUUUGUGACGGUACCUAGAUAAGAAGCACCGGCUAACUACGUGCCAGCAGCCGCGGUAAUACGUAGGGUGCGAGCGUUGUCCGGAAUUACUGGGCGUAAAGGGCUCGUAGGUGGUUUGUCGCGUCGUCUGUGAAAUUCCGGGGCUUAACUCCGGGCGUGCAGGCGAUACGGGCAUAACUUGAGUACUGUAGGGGUAACUGGAAUUCCUGGUGUAGCGGUGAAAUGCGCAGAUAUCAGGAGGAACACCGAUGGCGAAGGCAGGUUACUGGGCAGUUACUGACGCUGAGGAGCGAAAGCAUGGGUAGCGAACAGGAUUAGAUACCCUGGUAGUCCAUGCCGUAAACGGUGGGCGCUAGGUGUGAGGGUCUUUUCACGACUUUCGUGCCGUAGCUAACGCAUUAAGCGCCCCGCCUGGGGAGUACGGCCGCAAGGCUA